GUGUGAAUCUUUCAGUCCCCGCGGCGUCCGCACCUGCCUCUCCCCCUCGUGCUCCCAUCUGCCCUGCCGACACCGCUUGCCAUGAGAGACCCAGAGGAAGUAAUGGCGGAGAAGACGGAAUUCAGGGCGCUGCAGCCUUCCCUGUGUUCUUGAUCUGGAGCCUGUCCAACCCGUCGGGCCCCGCCGGCGUACCUCCGGUCAGCGCCUCGAUUUGUCCCAUGCCUCUCGCUCAUCCACCUCGCGCCCGGGAUCGGCCGCCGUCGGUUCGUUCUUCCGGGGAUGUGGCGCUCCGCCUGCGUUGGUUCUUCGUGGUUCUUUCGGUGGUGCGUCUCACCGGCGGCCGGUUGGUCGGCAACUCGGCAUCCGUUGUCCGUGUCACCGUCUGUUGGUUCCAUCGCUUCAGGUACUAUGAUUCCAUCAUGUAAUUUGGAUCUUGAGGAAUCUCGCUGACGGCGAGUGGGAGAUUCGCUGUGUCAAAUAGUUUCUUGUGGUGAUGGCAUGCAUGUCUCAUUGGCCUCUAGAUGGCGGUCUGGUAUACUUCGUUGGGGUAGAGUGGUCGAUUCCGUCUUGUAUAUCUCCUUUCCUUCGUAGUUAUUUUUCUCUUUUCAUCCUUUGAUUAUUGUGUGAUCUUCAAUGUUGAUCGGUUUUGUUGGUUUUGUCCUGCUGAUCAGUUCCUCCCACGCCGGAUGUUCAGUGCCUUGAUGAUGCAUGGAAUCAUUAAAGGGAUAGCACUACUGCUUAGAGAUAAUGAUGAUGAUGCUACAAAGAGUUUGUUGUUCCUACAUAGUACAAAGUAAUAGAGAUAAUGCUGCUGCUAAUUAAAGAUCGUCUUUUCUUUAUCUUCUGCUGUUGCUAAUGCAAUGUUUUUGCCGUUGUUGUUUAUGUAUGGUUGUUGGCCGUUGGGAGUAGUUUAUGUUUGUUACUAACAGUUCAAAUUGUUGUAUUCGGUACAUUACCAGUCAAGGGGUUCGGCUCAGGUGCAGGGGUCACCGCACCUAUUAUGGUGCAGGCCCAAUGAGCACAUGCCACGUAUGUUUGUAGGCCCAAGCAAUUAAUUAAUUCAUUCUUUAAUUAAUCCUUCAAUGGAUCGCUUUCCUUCCAAACUCUCCGUGCUAUAUCUAAUUUAUUUGUUGUUUAUUCUCUCUGCUGCAAUUGCAAACUUACAAAUCUCUUAUGAAAUAGUUUGGAUUGUUUAUUCUCUGUUGCAUAUCUCCAUCGCUGUUUGUCCAUGCAGCAGCUAAAUAGAUAAUCUUCAUCGGCCAGGAUGUGUGCGUGCUCGAGGACCAUACGAGACCUAGGUUACGCCAUGCUUGCUAACCCGCUCGUUGUGCUCUGAACAAUCUUGCCGUCAGACAAUCAAAAGUACUGGCCGGCUGGAGUCUGAUCCGACGAGAAAACAACGUGAUGGAUCAUUUGAUCAAUACUAUCGAAGAGUGUGUGCUCACGUCGACGGCAUGUAAAAGUGCCUGCAUGCCCUGAGCAGUGAGCACAUGCCCAUCAAAAAAUGCAGCACAUUGUAGUCGCGAAGAUUGGAGUAUUAGGGAAGUUCGUCCAGAUGUGUGCUGGGUGAAGACGGCGGAGGUCGUCAUGACAGGAGUACCUUGCCGUGUGAUCCGACCUGUUUGCAUGGAAUUGAAGAGAGGAUGGAGAUUAAUCGGAAGAUUAAAAAAAUUAAUAAUGAAGUAUGGGCCUACUAGCACACGUGGAAUGCAUUGAUUGGGCCUGCACCAUAAUAGGUGCGGUGAACCCUGCACCUGAGCCGAACCCCCCAGUCAAGUGUUGCUCACCUGCCGUUCGUUGACUAUCAACCAACUAAGGUGUUAACAAGAUCUGGAAAUGUUUAAUCAAGGCUUUUUUAAGCUUUUCAGUACCACUAGCAUAUAGUGAACAGUAUAGGGUACACUGUUAGUAGAUGUGGUAGUUGUUGUUCUACUUAUUCUGUCACCUGCCAAUGAUAGUGGGCCAUGAGAAAAAAAAAGAAGGGAUUGUUAGAAGCAAACAAACACUUUGAUAGGAAAUGGAGAUGAUGUUAAAUUGGUUUGAACAACAGACUGAUAUUAGUUCUGCCAAGUAAGGUGAUAAGAGCAUGAGCUUUCCGUCUGCUUGAUCUAUUUCAUACUAAUACUGAUAUGCAUGUGUUGCCCUUUUCCCCUGUACAUGUACUUAAUGGGUGAUUCACAUUUCUUUGCUGUUGAGUUGCAUUGUACUAACCGAGAACCCAUAUUUGUUUGCUAAAUAAUUUCUGAGACCGAGGUAUCGUAAUUUGAAACCAACCAAUAGCAAAUCUUAUAUUUUUUCCAUUCCAGGAAUUAAUUGACUUUGAAGCAAAGAAGGUGAUGUUGGUCCUUAGUCCUAAUUUGUGCUUUUUCUCCUCAUCCAUGGGUUUUUACUUCUGAUAGCUGCAUGUAACGGUGAUAGAGCUAUUACCCCUUAUUGCUUCAUCAAGCGAUUAAUUGUUACUCUGCUAUGCUAAACUCAGUUGAAAGAAAAACGCCUGGAUCAUGAGGCAAUUCCUUUGCAUUUGGCCCGCUAUGGUUUCAUAUUUCUUGUGCUAGCAGUGAAUUAAUUGUGAUGUUACAUACAUUUGGAGACGAGUUAAUUAUAUGCUUCAUUGUUAGUCGUAAUUUUUGAAAAUAUAGUACACUCCAGGCCUUACUUCGUAUUAUGAAUUUUUCCUUCCAAGUUAGUCAGCCAUUGGCACGCUUCUAAUAACAGCCCCCCAAGGACAUUUGUCUAUAUAUGCACCCAAGGUUUUCAUAUGGUGUGAUUUAUCUAUUGUGCCCUUUUUACA
Long non-coding RNA from Triticum aestivum (bread wheat), 2791 nucleotides. RefSeq lists it as uncharacterized. The transcript has 3 exons. NCBI's taxonomy places the organism in Eukaryota, Viridiplantae, Streptophyta, Magnoliopsida, Poales, Poaceae. The record is from RefSeq and is a predicted model, not a curated record.